GACGAACGCUGGCUGCGUGCUUAACACAUGCAAGUCGAACGCUGAAGCCUGGUGCUUGCACCGGGUGGAUGAGUGGCGAACGGGUGAGUAACACGUGAGUAACCUGCCCCUGACUUCGGGAUAAGCCCGGGAAACUGGGUCUAAUACCGGAUACGACUGCCGGACGCAUGUCUGGUGGUGGAAAGUUUUUUCGGUUGGGGAUGGGCUCGCGGCCUAUCAGUUUGUUGGUGAGGUAAUGGCUCACCAAGACGACGACGGGUAGCCGGCCUGAGAGGGCGACCGGCCACACUGGGACUGAGACACGGCCCAGACUCCUACGGGAGGCAGCAGUGGGGAAUAUUGCACAAUGGGGGAAACCCUGAUGCAGCGACGCAGCGUGCGGGAUGACGGCCUUCGGGUUGUAAACCGCUUUCAGCAGGGAAGAAGCGCAAGUGACGGUACCUGCAGAAGAAGUACCGGCUAACUACGUGCCAGCAGCCGCGGUAAUACGUAGGGUACGAGCGUUGUCCGGAAUUAUUGGGCGUAAAGAGCUCGUAGGUGGUUGGUCACGUCUGCUGUGGAAACGCAACGCUUAACGUUGCGCGUGCAGUGGGUGCGGGCUGACUAGAGUGCAGUAGGGGAGUCUGGAAUUCCUGGUGUAGCGGUGAAAUGCGCAGAUAUCAGGAGGAACACCGGUGGCGAAGGCGGGACUCUGGGCUGUAACUGACACUGAGGAGCGAAAGCAUGGGGAGCGAACAGGAUUAGAUACCCUGGUAGUCCAUGCCGUAAACGUUGGGCACUAGGUGUGGGGGGCAUUCCACGUUCUCCGCGCCGUAGCUAACGCAUUAAGUGCCCCGCCUGGGGAGUACGGUCGCAAGGCUAAAACUCAAAGGAAUUGACGGGGGCCCGCACAAGCGGCGGAGCAUGCGGAUUAAUUCGAUGCAACGCGAAGAACCUUACCAAGGCUUGACAUACACCGGACCGUCCUGGAAACAGGUCUUCUUCUUUGAAGCUGGUGUACAGGUGGUGCAUGGUUGUCGUCAGCUCGUGUCGUGAGAUGUUGGGUUAAGUCCCGCAACGAGCGCAACCCUCGUUCUAUGUUGCCAGCACGUGAUGGUGGGAACUCAUAGGAGACUGCCGGGGUCAACUCGGAGGAAGGUGGGGAUGACGUCAAAUCAUCAUGCCCUUUAUGUCUUGGGCUUCACGCAUGCUACAAUGGCUGGUACAGAGAGAGGCGAACCCGUGAGGGCAAGCGAAUCCCUUAAAACCAGUCUCAGUUCGGAUCGUAUUCUGCAAUUCGACUACGUGAAGUCGGAGUCCCUAGUAAUCGCAGAUCCACAACGCUGGCGGGAAAUACGUUCCCCGGCCUU
Molecule: ribosomal RNA, 1349 nt
Filed under: uncultured bacterium
Lineage: Bacteria
Description: bacterial SSU rRNA
Rfam family: Bacterial small subunit ribosomal RNA
Source: RNAcentral